AAGUCGUAACAAGGUAACCGUAGGUGAACCUGCGGUUGGAUCAUUCUUGAAAUUUUGAAGGGAAGAUUGAAUUUUAAAACUUCAAUUGACUCGACACCUUUAAACGUCUUUAAAAGACGACUUGAGAAUUUAUUCAUGUACUUUGGGGAAUGUUGUACUUUUUUUGAGUGCAUGCCCCUAAAUUUUAAACAUUUUUUUUUAUUUUAAAUUCUUUGUGAGUGAUUGAAAUUUGAAACAACUUUUGACAACGGAUCUCUUGGCUCUC
Molecule: unclassified non-coding RNA, 265 nt
Filed under: fungal sp.
Lineage: Eukaryota; Fungi
Description: partial internal transcribed spacer region
Rfam family: Eukaryotic small subunit ribosomal RNA (bases 1-46)
Source: RNAcentral